RNAcentral lists this ribosomal RNA (497 nucleotides) under uncultured bacterium. Its description in RNAcentral is "partial 16S ribosomal RNA". It matches the Rfam family "Bacterial small subunit ribosomal RNA", at positions 28 to 507 of the family's 1533-position model. The record is from RNAcentral.
GAUGAACGCUGGCGGCGUGCCUAAUACAUGCAAGUAGAACGCUGAAGGAAGGAGCUUGCUCUUUCCGGAUGAGUUGCGAACGGGUGAGUAACGCGUAGGUAACCUGCCUGGUAGCGGGGGAUAACUAUUGGAAACGAUAGCUAAUACCGCGUAACAGUAGAUGUUGCAUGAUAUCUACUUAAAAGGUGCAAUUGCACCACUACCAGAUGGACCUGCGUUGUAUUAGCUAGUUGGUGAGGUAACGGCUCACCAAGGCGACGAUACAUAGCCGGCCUGAGAGGGUGAUCGGCCACACUGGGAAUGGGACACGGCCCAGAAUCCUACGGGAGGCAGCAGUAGGGGAUCUUCGGCAAUGGACGGAAGGCUGACCGAGCAACGCCGGGUGAGUGAAGAAGGUUUUCGGAUCGUAAAGAUCUGUUGUAAGAGAAGAACGAGUGUGAGAGUGGAAAGUUCACACUGUGACGGUAUCUUACCAGAAAGGGACGGCUAACUACGUG